AAUCUGUCUCAUGCUGGAACCUACUACUGUGCUGUUGCCUCGUGUGGACAUAUUCUGUUUGGAGAUGGGACCAAGCUGGACUUUGAGGAUGAGAAGGACUCUCGUAUCUUGGUGUAUUUGUUGAGUGGAGCUCUAACUUUUACCAUCAUCCUUAAUGUCCUUCUGGUUUUCUUACUUUGCAUGAUGAAAGAGAAACCACUGUGAAGUUACAGAGUUUCAUGCAAGA
Molecule: RNA transcript, 226 nt
Organism: Gasterosteus aculeatus aculeatus (three-spined stickleback)
Lineage: Eukaryota; Metazoa; Chordata; Actinopteri; Perciformes; Gasterosteidae
Source: RefSeq, a predicted model, not a curated record